GCUGCCCCUAAAGUCAUUGUAGAUGUGGCUGCUGUAUCACAUGUGCAUCAGUAGGUGGCAGAGAAGAGAGAGACUAUGUCCACACUCAGUAUUCUGAGCUAUGAUCAUCUGAGUGAUUCGUGUAACAUU
This is a small nucleolar RNA of Arvicanthis niloticus (Nile rat), 129 nucleotides long. RefSeq annotates it as small nucleolar RNA SNORA17. The record is from RefSeq and is a predicted model, not a curated record. Lineage: Eukaryota; Metazoa; Chordata; Mammalia; Rodentia; Muridae.